UCUAAGUACCCCGAGGAAAAGAAAUCAACCGAGAUUCCCCCAGUAGCGGCGAGCGAACGGGGAGGAGCCCAGAGCCUGAAUCAGUGUGUGUGUUAGUGGAAGCGUCUGGAAAGGCGUGCGAUACAGGGUGACAGCCCCGUACACAAAAAUGCACAUACUGUGAGCUCGAUGAGUAGGGCGGGACACGUGGUAUCCUGUCUGAAUAUGGGGGGACCAUCCUCCAAGGCUAAAUACUCCUGACUGACCGAUAGUGAACCAGUACCGUGAGGGAAAGGCGAAAAGAACCCCGGCGAGGGGAGUGAAAAAGAACCUGAAACCGUGUACGUACAAGCAGUGGGAGCCUCUUUAUGGGGUGACUGCGUACCUUUUGUAUAAUGGGUCAGCGACUUAUAUUCUGUAGCAAGGUUAACCGAAUAGGGGAGCCGAAGGGAAACCGAGUCUUAACUGGGCGUUAAGUUGCAGGGUAUAGACCCGAAACCCGGUGAUCUAGCCAUGGGCAGGUUGAAGGUUGGGUAACACUAACUGGAGGACCGAACCGACUAAUGUUGAAAAAUUAGCGGAUGACUUGUGGCUGGGGGUGAAAGGCCAAUCAAACCGGGAGAUAGCUGGUUCUCCCCGAAAGCUAUUUAGGUAGCGCCUCGUGAAUUCAUCUCCGGGGGUAGAGCACUGUUUCGGCAAGGGGGUCAUCCCGACUUACCAACCCGAUGCAAACUGCGAAUACCGGAGAAUGUUAUCACGGGAGACACACGGCGGGUGCUAACGUCCGUCGUGAAGAGGGAAACAACCCAGACCGCCAGCUAAGGUCCCAAAGUCAUGGUUAAGUGGGAAACGAUGUGGGAAGGCCCAGACAGCCAGGAUGUUGGCUUAGAAGCAGCCAUCAUUUAAAGAAAGCGUAAUAGCUCACUGGUCGAGUCGGCCUGCGCGGAAGAUGUAACGGGGCUAAACCAUGCACCGAAGCUGCGGCAGCGACACUAUGUGUUGUUGGGUAGGGGAGCGUUCUGUAAGCCUGCGAAGGUGGCCUGUGAGGGUUGCUGGAGGUAUCAGAAGUGCGAAUGCUGACAUAAGUAACGAUAAAGCGGGUGAAAAGCCCGCUCGCCGGAAGACCAAGGGUUCCUGUCCAACGUUAAUCGGGGCAGGGUGAGUCGACCCCUAAGGCGAGGCCGAAAGGCGUAGUCGAUGGGAAACAGGUUAAUAUUCCUGUACUUGGUGUUACUGCGAAGGGGGGACGGAGAAGGCUAUGUUGGCCGGGCGACGGUUGUCCCGGUUUAAGCGUGUAGGCUGGUUUUCCAGGCAAAUCCGGAAAAUCAAGGCUGAGGCGUGAUGACGAGGCACUACGGUGCUGAAGCAACAAAUGCCCUGCUUCCAGGAAAAGCCUCUAAGCAUCAGGUAACAUCAAAUCGUACCCCAAACCGACACAGGUGGUCAGGUAGAGAAUACCAAGGCGCUUGAGAGAACUCGGGUGAAGGAACUAGGCAAAAUGGUGCCGUAACU
This 1491-nucleotide ribosomal RNA is filed under the name Escherichia coli. Its description in RNAcentral is "partial 23S ribosomal RNA". It matches the Rfam family "Bacterial large subunit ribosomal RNA", at positions 201 to 1735 of the family's 2925-position model. Lineage: Bacteria; Pseudomonadati; Pseudomonadota; Gammaproteobacteria; Enterobacterales; Enterobacteriaceae. The record is from RNAcentral.